UACGUAGGGGGCAAGCGUUGUUCGGAAUUACUGGGCGUAAAGGGCGCGUAGGCGGUACGACAAGUCGGGAGUGAAAGCCCGGGGCUCAACCCCGGGACUGCUUUCGAAACUGUCGAACUUGAGUGCAGAAGAGGCAACUGGAAUUCCCAGUGUAGCGGUGAAAUGCGUAGAUAUUGGGAAGAACACCUGAGGCGAAGGCGGGUUGCUGGGCUGACACUGACGCUGAGGCGCGAAAGCCAGGGGAGCGAACGGG
Molecule: ribosomal RNA, 253 nt
Filed under: uncultured bacterium
Lineage: Bacteria
Also listed under: 1 other name
Description: partial 16S ribosomal RNA
Rfam family: Bacterial small subunit ribosomal RNA
Source: RNAcentral